RNAcentral lists this transfer RNA (87 nucleotides) under Catellatospora coxensis. RNAcentral describes it as "tRNA-Leu". The record is from RNAcentral. Lineage: Bacteria; Bacillati; Actinomycetota; Actinomycetes; Micromonosporales; Micromonosporaceae.
CGACUUGCCUGGCACAUGGGUGAAUGCGUGCUCAAGAUACGCACAGGUGCCGGGCAAGUCCGGCGAUCUUGGGCGCCGGCCCGUCGU